Molecule: ribosomal RNA, 444 nt
Filed under: uncultured bacterium
Lineage: Bacteria
Description: bacterial SSU rRNA
Rfam family: Bacterial small subunit ribosomal RNA
Source: RNAcentral
AACGCGAAGAACCUUACCAGCCCUUGACAUGCCCGGUAUGGGGAGGAGAGAUCUUCUUCUUCAGUUCGGCUGGCCGGGACACAGGUGCUGCAUGGCUGUCGUCAGCUCGUGUCGUGAGAUGUUGGGUUAAGUCCCGCAACGAGCGCAACCCCCAUCUGCAGUUGCCAUCGGUUCGGCCGGGCACUUUGCAGAAACUGCCGGUGACAAGCCGGAGGAAGGCGGGGAUGACGUCAAGUCCUCAUGGCCCUUAUGGGCUGGGCUACACACGUGCUACAAUGGCGGUGACAGAGGGCGGCAAUGGGGCGACCCUGGGCCAAUCUCAAAAAGCCGUCUCAGUUCGGAUUGCUCUCUGCAACUCGAGAGCAUGAAGUCGGAAUCGCUAGUAAUCGUGGAUCAGCAUGCCACGGUGAAUACGUUCCCGGGCCUUGUACACACCGGUACUAA